RNAcentral lists this ribosomal RNA (444 nucleotides) under uncultured bacterium. RNAcentral's name for it is "bacterial SSU rRNA". It matches the Rfam family "Bacterial small subunit ribosomal RNA", at positions 29 to 507 of the family's 1533-position model. The record is from RNAcentral.
AACGAACGCUGGCGCAGGCCUAACACAUGCAAGUCGAACGUGAAGCUGGAGCUUGCUCCAGUGGAAAGUGGCAGACGGGUGAGUAACGCGUGGGAACCUUCCCAGUGGUACGGAAUAACUCAGGGAAACUUGAGCUAAUACCGUAUAAGCCCUUAGGGGGAAAGAUUUAUCGCCAUUGGAUGGGCCCGCGUCGGAUUAGCUUGUUGGUAGGGUAACGGCCUACCAAGGCUACGAUCCGUAGCUGGUCUGAGAGGAUGAUCAGCCACACUGGGACUGAGACACGGCCCAGACUCCUGCGGGAGGCAGCAGUGGGGAAUAUUGGACAAUGGGCGAAAGCCUGAUCCAGCCAUGCCGCGUGAGUGACGAAGGCCCUAGGGUUGUAAAGCUCUUUUGGCGGGGACGAUAAUGACGGUACCCGCAGAAUAAGCCCCGGCUAACUUCGUG